Molecule: unclassified non-coding RNA, 283 nt
Filed under: Hyphoderma setigerum
Lineage: Eukaryota; Fungi; Basidiomycota; Agaricomycetes; Polyporales; Hyphodermataceae
Description: partial contains 5.8S ribosomal RNA, internal transcribed spacer 2, and large subunit ribosomal RNA
Source: RNAcentral
CGCACCUUGCGCUCCUUGGUAUUCCGAGGAGCAUGCCUGUUUGAGUGUCAUGUAUCUCUCAAUCUUCUCAGUUUUUCUGAGAGGGAUUGGAAUUGGAAGCUGCCGUUGUAAAAUGGCUCUUCUCAAAAGCAUUAGUGUGAAUGUUACCGAAUGUUCUCCAGUGUAAUAAUCAUUUGCGCUGCAAGAGCUUCAGUAGAAUUAAGUUCAUGCUUCCAACCGUCUGUCUCAGACAAUACACUUUGCGUUUGACCUCAAAUCAGGUAGGAUUACCCGCUGAACUUAA